AUCUAUACCAAUAAUUCUCCCAUGAACCACACUAGACCCGUCUUCCGGAUCAUAAUUCGUCACAUAUUCCGUUAACAAUGCUAUAUCUAUUGGUGGUAGCCUCUGCGAAAACUUCACAAACCCAUACAUCUGUGCCGUGCAAAACUCUCUCUGUCUCCUUUGCGACCAAAAAAUGUCCAUAGCGACCGGCUCCAUGCUGAUCACUAUCACGCACUCCAUUGGUGGCAAUGAUCCCUUUGUCUUGAUAUUACGCUGUCGCUCCUCUCUCGUAGCUGUCCUCUUCUUACGCUCAAUCACCAUCUUCGCUACUCAUGAUAAUCCUCUAAAACCUAUACUUAGCAACGUGAAUCAAGAAAUUACAAUGUAAACAAUGCCAGCCAAGAGUCCCACUCCUAACUUCUACCCUGGUUCUCCUCUUGAUAUGUCUUAACCUAACAGGCCUGUAACAACCUAUCCUAUUAGUGUCUUCCUGACGGCUCACCUUCACUCAACCCGUCCAUAAUCUCAUCAUCGCACGCUCUUCCCUUCUCAUCACAACUCUUGCGAUGUCACUUCAAUACUAAAUUGGCUUUUUCUCUCCCCCCC
RNAcentral lists this long non-coding RNA (585 nucleotides) under Physcomitrium patens. RNAcentral describes it as "long non-coding RNA (PPAT_LNC010951)". Lineage: Eukaryota; Viridiplantae; Streptophyta; Bryopsida; Funariales; Funariaceae. The record is from RNAcentral.